GGCUCAGAGUGAACGCUGGCGGCGUGCUUAACACAUGCAAGUCGCACGAGAACGCUUCUGCUUGCAGGGGCUAGUAAAGUGGCGCACGGGUGAGUAACACGUGGGUAAUCUACCUUCGGAUUGGGGAUAACAUUGCGAAAGCGAUGCUAAUACCGGAUAAUAUCGUUGGUUUUUCGAAUCCAUCGAUCAAAGAUGGCCUCUUCAUGAAAGCUAUUGUCUGAAGAUGAGCCCGCGUCCCAUUAGCUUGUUGGUAGGGUAACGGCCUACCAAGGCAACGAUGGGUAGCUGGUCUGAGAGGAUGAUCAGCCACACUGGAACUGACACACGGUCCAGACUCCUACGGGAGGCAGCAGUGAGGAAUUUUGCGCAAUGGGCGAAAGCCUGACGCAGCAACGCCGCGUGAGUGAUGAAGGCUUUCGGGUCGUAAAGCUCUGUCAAGUGGGAAGAACCUGUAAAGUGCCAAUACCACUUUGCACUGACGGUACCACUGAAGGAAGCACCGGCUAACUCCGUGCCAGCAGCCGCGGUAAUACGGGGGGUGCAAGCGUUACUCGGAAUCAUUGGGCGUAAAGGGCGCGCAGGCGGCCCAAUAAGUCAGAUGUGAAAGCCCGGGGCUCAACCCCGGAAGUGCAUUUGAAACUGUUGGGCUUGAGUAUGGGAGAGGAAAGUGGAAUUCCUGGUGUAGAGGUGAAAUUCGUAGAUAUCAGGAGGAACACCUGUGGCGAAGGCGACUUUCUGGACCAAUACUGACGCUGAGGCGCGAAGGCGUGGGUAGCAAAC
This 780-nucleotide ribosomal RNA is filed under the name uncultured delta proteobacterium. Its description in RNAcentral is "bacterial SSU rRNA". It matches the Rfam family "Bacterial small subunit ribosomal RNA", at positions 21 to 773 of the family's 1533-position model. The record is from RNAcentral. Lineage: Bacteria; Deltaproteobacteria.